This 1356-nucleotide ribosomal RNA is filed under the name uncultured marine eukaryote. RNAcentral's name for it is "SSU rRNA". It matches the Rfam family "Eukaryotic small subunit ribosomal RNA", at positions 411 to 1779 of the family's 1831-position model. The record is from RNAcentral.
CACUUCUAAGGAAGGCAGCAGGCGCGCAAAUUACCCAAUCCUGACUCAGGGAGGUAGUGACAAGAAAUAACAAUAAACCGGCUUAUGCCGGUUUAAUUGGAAUGAGUACAAUUUAAACAUCUUAACGAGGAACAAUUGGAGGGCAAGUCUGGUGCCAGCAGCCGCGGUAAUUCCAGCUCCAAUAGCGUAUACUAAAGUUGUUGCAGUUAAAAAGCUCGUAGUUGGAUUUCUGUGGGGACGGAGCGGCCGGCCGCAACACGCGGUUCGAGCUAGCGCUUUCCCUACAUCCUGCCGCGAACCGUGCUACCAUUAAUUUGGUGGCGCCGGGGAUCGGCUCGAUUACUUUGAGAAAAAUAGAGUGUUCAAAGCAGGCCACAUGCCUUGAAUAAGUUAGCAUGGAAUAAUAACUAAGGACUUCGGUUCUAUUUUGUUGGUGUUCGGGACUGAAGUAAUGAUUGAUAGGGACAGUUGGGGCGGUCUGUAUUCCAAAGCGAGAGGUGAAAUUCUUAGACCUUCGGAAGACAAACAGCUGCGAAAGCGUUCCGCAAGGAUGUUCCCUUUGAUCAAGAACGAAAGUUGGGGGAUCGAAGACGAUCAGAUACCGUCGUAGUCUCAACUAUAAACUAUACCAGCUAGGGAUCGGCCAACGUUAUUUUAUACCGACUUGGUCGGCACCUUAUGAGAAAUCAAAGCAUCUGGGUUCCGGGGGGAGUAUGGUCGCAAGGCUGAAACUUAAAGGAAUUGACGGAAGGGCACCACCAGCCGUGGAGCCUGUGGCUUAAUUUGACUCAACACGGGAAAACUUACCAGGUCCAGACAUAGUAAGGAUUGACAGAUUGAUAGCUCUUUCUUGAUUCUGUGGGUGGUGGUGCAUGGCCGUUCUUAGUUGGUGGAGUGAUUUGUCUGGUUAAUUCCGUUAACGAACGAGACCCCAGCCUGCUAAAUAGCGCGCGUGAGCUUUGCUCGCGGCGAGCUUCUUAGAGGGACUAUGAUGCGCGAUAGCACAUGGAAGUUUGGGGCAAUAACAGGUCUGUGAUGCCCUUAGAUGUUCUGGGCCGCACACGGGCUACACUGGCGCCUGCAACGAGCAUAUCAGCUGGCCCGAGAGGGUCUUGGCUAAUCUUUUGAACCGGCGCCGUGCUUGGGAUUGACCUUUGCAAUUGUUGGUCAUGCAACGAGGAAUGCCUCGUAAACGCGAGUCAUCAGCUCGCAUUGAAUACGUCCCUGCCCUUUGUACACACCGCCCGUCGCUCCUACCGAUGAAUGUUCCGAUGAAAUUUUCGGAGAGCACCUGUGAACUUGGCUCUGCCUUGCGAACGGGAGGCUCAAAGUCACUUAAAUCUGAACAUUUCGAGG